Molecule: ribosomal RNA, 253 nt
Filed under: uncultured bacterium
Lineage: Bacteria
Description: partial 16S ribosomal RNA
Rfam family: Bacterial small subunit ribosomal RNA
Source: RNAcentral
UACAGAGGUGGCAAGCGUUGUUCGGAAUUACUGGGCGUAAAGGGCUCGUAGGCGGCCAACUAAGUCGGAUGUGAAAUCCCCAGGCUCAACCUGGGAACUGCAUCCGAUACUGGAUGGCUUGAAUUCGGGAGAGGGGUGCAGAAUUCCAGGUGUAGCGGUGAAAUGCGUAGAUAUCUGGAGGAAUACCGGUGGCGAAGGCGGCAUCCUGGACCGACAUUGACGCUGAGGCACGAAAGCGUGGGUAGCAAACAGG